Molecule: small nucleolar RNA, 70 nt
Organism: Sorex araneus (European shrew)
Lineage: Eukaryota; Metazoa; Chordata; Mammalia; Eulipotyphla; Soricidae
Product: small nucleolar RNA U2-30
Exons: 1
Source: RefSeq, a predicted model, not a curated record
GAGCAAUGAUGAAAUGCUUUUAUCACUGAUCUUUAUUCCUAUGAGACUUUCUGCACUUGAUCUGAACUCU